Molecule: long non-coding RNA, 299 nt
Filed under: Brassica napus (rape)
Lineage: Eukaryota; Viridiplantae; Streptophyta; Magnoliopsida; Brassicales; Brassicaceae
Description: long non-coding RNA (BNAP_LNC023272)
Source: RNAcentral
GGUAGGGUCAGUUUUUUUUUACUGUGAGAAUAAUAAGAUCACCUGAUUUUCAUACAUAUACACUAAUUAGGAUAACCCUAACCCUAAGUUAUGAAAAUUAUGAGCUGUUCGAUUAUCUGCUCUAUCAAAUGUAUCUCGUGGUCUACCUGAAGAUCACCUGAUUUUCACCUAUCUUAUCCUAGGUUUGAAGCAUGCACAAUGCAUUUUCUUUUAUUUUUAAAAAAUAUUUUUAAUGAAAUGGCAAAACCGUAAAUAUACCAUCUUCUUCUUUUAGAGUUCGAUAAGGGUUUCUGCAAUUU